AAAAAAAAAAAAAAUUCUCCUCGAAAACUUAAAGUGUCAAAAAAUAGAGCCCGGUUACUAUCCUAUUAAUAGGAUAGAAGCACUUGUCCUAUCAAGUCGUUUUGAAUGAUCGAAACUUCAAAUUGAUAAUCGGCACCGUUGAUAUUGAUCUACACAAUUAGAAAUAUUUAGAAACCAAAUUUUAUAAUAUUUAAAAAUCAUUAUCAAGUUUAUCUUAAGAGUUAAAAAAUGAACGGUCAUAAAUGAAUAAUCUUCUUAAAAUAGAGGUUAGACUUUUUCAAUUCAUAAUCAGAGUUAUCAAACAUUAUCUAAAUAGUAUAAAGAAUUUUCUAUAAAAAAUUUAAGCAAUUUGGAUUGCUCUACACCGUUAAACAAGCAAACGGCUCAUAUAGGCCGUCAAAAAUUGUCGGUUUUACGACAUUUUGAUCACCAUGUAAAUAAUUUUUAAAAUUUAUAAAAUUUAGUUUCUAGAUAUUUCAAAUACUCUAGAUCAACUUCAACGGCUCCGAUCAUCGAUUCGAAAUCUCUAUCAUCAAAAACCAUUUGAUAGGACAAGUACUACUAUCCUAUUAAUAGGACAGUAGCCCUAGCCCCAAAAAAUAUAUAUAUUUUUUAAUAUUUAUAUUUAAUAAUUAAACAUGGUGAUUUUUUAUUUUUAUUAUCUUUUUUUAGUAUUGUAGACCAAUCUCAAUAGUGUAAAAUUUUAGGGUACACUUCAAAUACCACCCCAGUGGUUUCGCACUUUUUCACUUUAGUACCGUGUGGUUUAAAGUGUAUCAAGUUAGUGUCACGCGAUUUUAUUUUUAUCUUUUUAUCAGCCUUUCCAUUAAUAUUUCGCUAAAUUAUGUACAAAAAGCUUCAGAUACCUCACCUAACUUUAUCGAAUAUUCACUUUAGUAUCCUUUAGUUUUAACUUUGUCACUGAUUUAAUGAAAAAAUUAGUGGAAUCGAUAAUAAAAAGAUAAAAAUAAAACCACAGGAUACUAAAUUGAUACACUUUAAAUCAUAGGGUAUUAAAGUGAAAAAGUGUGAAACUAUAGGGGUGGUAUUUGAAAUUUUCUCAAAAUUUUAUAGGAAAACUUCAAAUACCCCCCUUGUGGUUUCACUUUUUCUCAUUUUAGUACCAUGUGGUUUAAAGUGUAUCAAGUUAGUACCCUGUGGUUUCGCACUUUCUCACUUUAGUACCCUGUGGUUUCGUACUUUCUCACUUUAGUACCUUGUGGUUUUUAAACCACAGGAUACUAACUUGAUACAAAAAUAAAACCAUAGGGUACUAACUUGAUACAAAAAUAAAACCACAGAGUAUUAACUUGAUACACUUUAAACCACAGGGUACUAAAAUAAGAAAGUGUGAAACCACAGGGUACUAACUUGAUACACUUUAAAGUAUAGAGUAAAAUGAAAAAAUACGAAACCACGAGAUUUUUUAAGUUUUCCCAAAUUUUAUUUA
Molecule: long non-coding RNA, 1450 nt
Filed under: Ananas comosus (pineapple)
Lineage: Eukaryota; Viridiplantae; Streptophyta; Magnoliopsida; Poales; Bromeliaceae
Description: long non-coding RNA (ACOM_LNC032338)
Source: RNAcentral